GAGGUGGGAGGAUCACUUGAGCCCAGAAGGUUGAGGCUGCAGUGAACUGUGAUCAUGUCACUGCACUCCAGCCUGAGUGACAGAGCAAGACCCUGUCUCA
MicroRNA precursor from Pan paniscus (pygmy chimpanzee), 100 nucleotides. NCBI's taxonomy places the organism in Eukaryota, Metazoa, Chordata, Mammalia, Primates, Hominidae. The record is from Ensembl.